This 246-nucleotide ribosomal RNA is filed under the name uncultured bacterium. RNAcentral describes it as "partial 16S ribosomal RNA". It matches the Rfam family "Bacterial small subunit ribosomal RNA", at positions 15 to 257 of the family's 1533-position model. The record is from RNAcentral.
GAUCCUGGCUCAGAGUGAACGCUGGCGGUAGGCCUAACACAUGCAAGUCGAACGGCAGCACAGGGGAGCUUGCUCCUUGGGUGGCGAGUGGCGGACGGGUGAGGAAUACAUCGGAAUCUACUCUGUCGUGGGGGAUAACGUAGGGAAACUUACGCUAAUACCGCAUACGACCUACGGGUGAAAGCAGGGGAUCUUCGGACCUUGCGCGAUUGAAUGAGCCGAUGUCGGAUUAGCUAGUUGGCGGGG